ACACAUGAGGUCCUGCCUCUGCGGGGAUUUACAGUCUGAUGGAAGAGGCAGGCAUUCAGCAGAGCAUCAUCCAAUCAAUGACCCCUGGAAGCUCAGACAACAUGAGAAAACCACACAAUGAUGGCAGCUGAUCACUCCAGAUGCUGAAGGCGAAGCCUCAGUCACGACAGCCCGAGGCAGUCUGUACCAGACAUUUUGCCCUCAGAAAAGAUGCUGCAACCAUUUCCACCUAAGCCAGAAGGAAGCGCGAGCCCCUGGUGGUCGGGCUGAAUUACUACUACAACUGGUACUAAAGAGUACUGAAAGGACGCACCAUGGAAGGAAGAGAUCGAAAAAUCUGACUGAAUCACAACAAAGAUGAUCUUAAGAGUCCACAAGCUAUGAGAAAAUAAACAGAAAACCUUGAAUGGGAAAAGAUACCACACUGUGAUCAAUA
Non-coding RNA from Arvicanthis niloticus (Nile rat), 436 nucleotides. The record is from RefSeq and is a predicted model, not a curated record. Lineage: Eukaryota; Metazoa; Chordata; Mammalia; Rodentia; Muridae.